RNAcentral lists this unclassified non-coding RNA (352 nucleotides) under soil metagenome. RNAcentral's name for it is "partial contains 5.8S ribosomal RNA, internal transcribed spacer 2, and large subunit ribosomal RNA". The stretch from base 1 to 120 matches the Rfam family "5.8S ribosomal RNA", at positions 35 to 154 of the family's 154-position model. The record is from RNAcentral.
GAUGAAGAACGUAGCGAAAUGCGAUAAGUAAUGUGAAUUGCAGAAUUCAGUGAAUCAUCGAAUCUUUGAACGCACAUUGCGCCCGCCAGUAUUCUGGCGGGCAUGCCUGUUCGAGCGUCAUUACAACCCUCAGGCCCCCGGGCCUGGCGUUGGGGAUCGGCGGAAGCCCCCUGUGGGCACACGCCGUCCCUCAAAUACGGUGGCGGUCCCGCCGCAGCUUCCAUUGCGUAGUAGCUAACACCUCGCAACUGGAGAGCGGCGCGGCCAUGCCGUAAAACACCCAACUUCUGAAUGUUGACCUCGAAUCAGGUAGGAAUACCCGCUGAACUUAAGCAUAUCAAUAAGCGGAGGA